Molecule: ribosomal RNA, 551 nt
Filed under: uncultured Glomus
Lineage: Eukaryota; Fungi; Glomeromycota; Glomeromycetes; Glomerales; Glomeraceae
Description: SSU rRNA
Rfam family: Eukaryotic small subunit ribosomal RNA
Source: RNAcentral
UUGGAGGGCAAGUCUGGUGCCAGCAGCCGCGGUAAUUCCAGCUCCAAUAGCGUAUAUUAAAGUUGUUGCAGUUAAAAAGCUCGUAGUUGAAUUUCGGGGUCAGUAGAUUGGUCAUGCCACUGGUAUGUACUGGUCUCACUGAUUCCUCCUUCCUGAUGAGCCGUAAUGCCAUUAAUUUGGUGUUGCGAGGAAUCUGGACUGUUACUUUGAAAAAAUUAGAGUGUUUAAAGCAGGCUAACGCUUGAAUACAUUAGCAUGGAAUAAUGAAAUAGGACGUUCGAUCUUAUUUUGUUGGUUUCUAAGAUUGACGUAAUGAUUAAUAGGGAUAGUUGGGGGCAUUAGUAUUCAAUUGUCAGAGGUGAAAUUCUUGGAUUUAUUGAAGACUAACUACUGCGAAAGCAUUUGCCAAGGAUGUUUUCAUUAAUCAAGAACGAAAGUUAGGGGAUCGAAGACGAUCAGAUACCGUCGUAGUCUUAACCAUAAACUAUGCCGACUAGGGAUCGGAUGAUGUUAAUUUUUUAAUGACUCAUUCGGCACCUUACGGGAAAAUC